AAGCUCAUGAUAGAAAAAAAACAGAAUCUCAUGGCUGAUUUCACAGAAGAUUUGCAAAGCUU
RNAcentral lists this small RNA (62 nucleotides) under Salix viminalis (osier). Lineage: Eukaryota; Viridiplantae; Streptophyta; Magnoliopsida; Malpighiales; Salicaceae. The record is from RNAcentral.